This 460-nucleotide ribosomal RNA is filed under the name uncultured bacterium. Its description in RNAcentral is "partial 16S ribosomal RNA". It matches the Rfam family "Bacterial small subunit ribosomal RNA", at positions 338 to 795 of the family's 1533-position model. The record is from RNAcentral.
CCUACGGGCGGCAGCAGUGAGGAAUAUUGGUCAAUGGGCUUACGCCUGAACCAGCCAAGUCGCGUGAGGGAAGACUGCCCUAUGGGUUGUAAACUGCUUUUGUACGAGGGUAAACGCAGAUACGCGUAUCUGUCUGAAAGUACCGUACGAAUAAGGAUCGGCUAACUCCGUGCCAGCAGCCGCGGUAAUACGGAGGAUUCAAGCGUUAUCCGGAUUUAUUGGGUUUAACGGGUGCGUAGGCGGGCGGAUAAGUUAGAGGUGAAAUCCCGGGGCUCAACUUCGGAAUUGCCGCUGAUACUGUUCGGCUAGAGAGAAGUUGCGGUAGGCGGAAUGUAUGGUGUAGCGGUGAAAUGCUUAGAGAUCAUACAGAACACCGAUUGCGAAGGCAGCAUACCAAGCUACUUCUGACGUUGAGGCACGAAAGCGUGGGGAGCAAACAGGAUUAGAUACCCCUGUAGUC